This 1248-nucleotide ribosomal RNA is filed under the name metagenome. RNAcentral describes it as "bacterial LSU rRNA". It matches the Rfam family "Bacterial large subunit ribosomal RNA", at positions 1635 to 2875 of the family's 2925-position model. The record is from RNAcentral.
UAUACGACCGUACCGCAAACCGACACUGGUGCGCGAGAUGAGUAUUCUAAGGCGCUUGAGAGAACUCAGGAGAAGGAACUCGGCAAAUUGACACCGUAACUUCGGAAGAAGGUGUGCCCUAUUAGUGUGUAGUGAACAACGAAGCAUGAAUGGGUUGCAAAAAAUCGGUGGCUGCGACUGUUUAUUAAAAACACAGCACUCCGCAAACACGAAAGUGGACGUAUAGGGUGUGACGCCUGCCCGGUGCUGGAAGAUUAAAUGAUGGGGUGCAAGCUCUUGAUUGAAGUCCCAGUAAACGGCGGCCGUAACAAUAACGGUCCUAAGGUAGCGAAAUUCCUUGUCGGGUAAGUUCCGACCUGCACGAAUGGCGUAACGAUGGCCACACUGUCUCCUCCUGAGACUCAGCGAAGUUGAAAUGUUUGUGAUGAUGCAAUCUCCCCGCGGAAAGACGGAAAGACCCCAUGAACCUUUACUGUAGCUUUGUAUUGGACUUUGAACAGAUCUGUGUAGGAUAGGUGGGGGGCUUUGAAGCAGGGUCGCUAGAUCUUGUGGAGCCAACGUUGAAAUACCACCCUGGUGUGUUUGAGGUUCUAACCUAGGUCCAUUAUCUGGAUCGGGGACAGUGCAUGGUAGGCAGUUUGACUGGGGCGGUCUCCUCCCAAAGCGUAACGGAGGAGUUCGAAGGUACGCUAGUUACGGUCGGACAUCGUGACGAUAGUGCAAUGGCAUAAGCGUGCUUAACUGCGAGACUGACAAGUCGAGCAGAUGCGAAAGCAGGACAUAGUGAUCCGGUGGUUCUGUAUGGAAGGGCCAUCGCUCAACGGAUAAAAGGUACUCUGGGGAUAACAGGCUGAUACCGCCCAAGAGUUCAUAUCGACGGCGGUGUUUGGCACCUCGAUGUCGGCUCAUCUCAUCCUGGGGCUGUAGCCGGUCCCAAGGGUAUGGCUGUUCGCCAUUUAAAGAGGUACGUGAGCUGGGUUUAAAACGUCGUGAGACAGUUUGGUCCCUAUCUUCCGUGGGCGCUGCAGAUUUGAGGAAGCCUGCUCCUAGUACGAGAGGACCGGAGUGGACACACCUCUGGUGUAUCGGUUGUCACGCCAGUGGCAUUGCCGAGUAGCUAAGUGUGGAAGAGAUAACCGCUGAAAGCAUCUAAGCGGGAAACUCGUUUCAAGAUGAGAUCUGCCGGGGCCUUGAGCCCCCUAAAGAGUCGUUCAAGACCAGGACGUUGAUAGGUCAGGUGUGGAAGUG